UACGUAGGCAGCAAGCGUUGUUCGGAGUUACUGGGCGUAAAGGGUGCGUAGGCGGCUUUUUUAAGUCUGGUGUGAAAUCUCCCGGCUCAACUGGGAGGGUGCGCCGGAUACUGAGGGGCUAGAGUGUGGGAGAGGAAAGUGGAAUUCCUGGUGUAGCGGUGAAAUGCGUAGAUAUCAGGAGGAACACCGGUGGUGUAAACGGCUUUCUGGACCAUAACUGACGCUGAGGCACGAAAGCGUGGGUAGCAAACAGG
Molecule: ribosomal RNA, 254 nt
Filed under: uncultured bacterium
Lineage: Bacteria
Description: partial 16S ribosomal RNA
Rfam family: Bacterial small subunit ribosomal RNA
Source: RNAcentral